CCCAGGAGGCCAAUGUGAGCAAAAAGAUUGUCAUUUGGAAGAGUGGAAAAUGUACAAGAAUCCCAAAGGAUCGCCUUUCGCUGCCACACAGCACUCACUGAAGGUGAGCCAUUAAGUUGGAGAGCUUGGAUGAAAUUCCUGCAUUCAAAAUCAGCUCUGCCCUUUGUGCCUAUGACCUGCACGUGCCUCGGUUUACCUUGUCGGUGAGUGGGGAUAGCUGCACUGCCGACUCCAUAUCGCUGUGGAUGGAAAUAGUAAGUCAGUG
Long non-coding RNA from Nannospalax galili (Upper Galilee mountains blind mole rat), 265 nucleotides. RefSeq lists it as uncharacterized. Lineage: Eukaryota; Metazoa; Chordata; Mammalia; Rodentia; Spalacidae. The record is from RefSeq and is a predicted model, not a curated record. The transcript has 3 exons.